UACGUAGGGUGCGAGCGUUGUCCGGAAUUACUGGGCGUAAAGAGCUCGUAGGUGGUUUGUCGCGUUGUUCGUGAAAACUUACAGCUUAACUGUGGGCGUGCGGGCGAUACGGGCAGACUGGAGUACUGCAGGGGAGACUGGAAUUCCUGGUGUAGCGGUGGAAUGCGCAGAUAUCAGGAGGAACACCGGUGGCGAAGGCGGGUCCCUGGACAACACCUGACACUGAGGCACGAAAGCUAGGGGAGCAAACGGG
RNAcentral lists this ribosomal RNA (253 nucleotides) under uncultured bacterium. Its description in RNAcentral is "partial 16S ribosomal RNA". It matches the Rfam family "Bacterial small subunit ribosomal RNA", at positions 524 to 776 of the family's 1533-position model. The record is from RNAcentral.